GGGGAAUUUUCCGCAAUGGGCGAAAGCCUGACGGAGCAAGACCGCGUGAGGGAGGAAGGCUCUUGGGUUGUAAACCUCUUUUCUCAGGGAAGAAGAAAGUGACGGUACCUGAGGAAUCAGCCUCGGCUAACUCCGUGCCAGCAGCCGCGGUAAUAAGGAGGAGGCAAGCCCUCUCCGGAAAUGGGGAGUGUUAAGCAUUGGGAUGAGAUACCCCCGU
RNAcentral lists this ribosomal RNA (217 nucleotides) under uncultured cyanobacterium. Its description in RNAcentral is "partial 16S ribosomal RNA". It matches the Rfam family "Bacterial small subunit ribosomal RNA", at positions 356 to 588 of the family's 1533-position model. Lineage: Bacteria; Bacillati; Cyanobacteriota. The record is from RNAcentral.